GAGGGUGUAGCUCAGUGGUAGAGCACAUGCUUAGCAUGCACUAGAUCCUGGGUUCAAUCCCCAGUACCUCCA
Molecule: transfer RNA, 72 nt
Filed under: Camelus bactrianus (Bactrian camel)
Lineage: Eukaryota; Metazoa; Chordata; Mammalia; Artiodactyla; Camelidae
Also listed under: 2 other names
Rfam family: tRNA
About the family: Transfer RNA (tRNA) molecules are approximately 80 nucleotides in length.
Source: Rfam by way of RNAcentral